UGAGCUCCCAUCUUGUUCUCUAUAGGAGCAAUGCUUGGAGACAGGGAGGAGAAACAUUAGCAAGUUUCAACCACAAAGAUGAUUUAACAAGUUAAAACAACAGUUUGAUGGAGCUUGUUUGGGUCCCGAAAAUAAUUGUCGGGUCACCAGAAAAGGGUCUGGGGAAGCAGUCCUGGCUAUGGACCGCCUGCUUGAAAGGGAGAUGAGAGGCCAAGUAUCCAUAGUGUUUGUGUCAGACCACCAGGUGCUACAAAGUACCUGUGAGGUGUGGGCGGUUUCCUCUCUACCUGGACUCGGACAUCCAGCACCUCUUACUACAGUUUGUGAACUUUGGAUUAUUCACCACCAGACUCCCAAGCUCCUCCCUUUGUGUGGACUCAGACCUGCUGUGGACUGUUCUUGUUGGACAAGCAUUCUGGAUUGCCUGACUCCCAAGCCCUGUGGUAUGAUUCCCCCGGUGUAUUUCUGCCCUGUGAUCAAAAGAACCCGUGAAGUCUGGAGAACCUGCCGACCAUUACAUACUACUUUUCCGGUGGAACUGUAAGCAAUGUUUGUAAAUAAACCUUUGAACCUUU
This is a long non-coding RNA of Girardinichthys multiradiatus, 575 nucleotides long. RefSeq lists it as uncharacterized. The record is from RefSeq and is a predicted model, not a curated record. The transcript has 4 exons. Lineage: Eukaryota; Metazoa; Chordata; Actinopteri; Cyprinodontiformes; Goodeidae.